This 337-nucleotide ribosomal RNA is filed under the name uncultured Bacteroidota bacterium. Its description in RNAcentral is "bacterial SSU rRNA". It matches the Rfam family "Bacterial small subunit ribosomal RNA", at positions 162 to 498 of the family's 1533-position model. Lineage: Bacteria; Pseudomonadati; Bacteroidota. The record is from RNAcentral.
AUUAAAACCUCAUAACAUUAUUAUUUGGCAUCAUUUAAUAAUUAAAACUCCGGUGGUUAUAGAUGAGCAUGCGUUCUAUUAGUUUGUUGGUGAGGUAAUAGCUCACCAAGACUACGAUAGAUAGGGGGCCUGAAAGGGUGAUCCCCCACACUGGUACUGAGACACGGACCAGACUCCUACGGGAGGCAGCAGUGAGGAAUAUUGCACAAUGGAGGAAACUCUGAUGCAGCCAUGCCGCGUGCAGGAUGACGGCCCUACGGGUUGUAAACUGCUUUUUUACAAGAAGAAACCUUGGUACGUGUUACCAAAUUGACGGUAUUUAAGAAAAGCACCGGCU